Molecule: ribosomal RNA, 501 nt
Filed under: Triticum aestivum (bread wheat)
Lineage: Eukaryota; Viridiplantae; Streptophyta; Magnoliopsida; Poales; Poaceae
Description: partial small subunit ribosomal RNA
Source: RNAcentral
AUGAUCCGAUGUCCAUGUGAAGAUUGUGUUCACACUGAAGUACUAUCAAGGGAUGAUGCCCGUGACCAUUUAAUGUGGAAUGGAAUGCUUCAGAGCUAUGACAAAUGGGUUUUUCAUGGCGAGUCUUCAUCCGAUCACAAUGAUGAUCAACAACCACAACCUGAAACUGAAGAAAAUGCUAAUAUGAAUGAAAUGAUUAUGGAUUCAAUUAGGAAAAUAUAUGAUGGUGAUGUGCCUAUGAGUGAUAGUACAGAUUUUUCAAAUCCACUUCCUGAUGGAGCAACUAAAGAAGCAGAAGCAUUGUACAAAUUAAUUCAAGAUUCAGAGAAGCCUUUGGGCCAGGAUGUGAAUUGUCUCAGCUUUCCUUACUUGCACUUUUGUUAUGGUCAGAUAAGUCAUUUGAAGAUCUACUUAAUAUUCUGCACAUGGCUAUUCCAAAUGGUAAAGCUCUGCCCCAAAAUUUUUACGAGGCCAAGAAGAUCAUAUCAAAGUUUGGAUUAG